Molecule: ribosomal RNA, 466 nt
Filed under: Awaous gutum (tank goby)
Lineage: Eukaryota; Metazoa; Chordata; Actinopteri; Gobiiformes; Gobiidae
Description: partial 12S ribosomal RNA
Rfam family: Bacterial small subunit ribosomal RNA
Source: RNAcentral
CUCGCCAGGGGACAACGAGCUUAAGCUUAGAACCCAAAGGACUUGGCGGUGCUUUAGACCCCCCUAGAGGAGCCUGUUCUAGAACCGAUACUCCCCGUUAAACCUCACCCUCCCUUGUUCGUCCCGCCUAUAUACCGCCGUCGUCAGCUUACCCUGUGAGGGAUCAACAGUAAGCAAAAUUGGUAAAGCCCAAAACGUCAGGCCGAGGUGUAGCGCACGAGAGGGGAAGAAAUGGGCUACAUUUGCUGAGCCAGCAAAUCACGGAUGAUGGACUGAAACUACAUCUAAAGGAGGAUUUAGUAGUAAGAGAAGAAUAGAGUGCUUCCCUGAAAACGGCCCUGAAGCGCGCACACACCGCCCGUCACCCUCCCCAACAAAACUCCAAACAUAAAUAAUAUGUUAGUACAACAAAGAGGAGGCAAGUCGUAACAUGGUAAGUGUACCGGAAGGUGCACUUGGAUCAACC